UACGAAGGGUGCUAGCGUUGUUCGGAAUUACUGGGCGUAAAGCGCGCGCAGGCGGCUAUCCAAGUCAGUGGUGAAAGCCCGGAGCUAAACUCCAGAACUGCCUUUGAUACUGGCGAUCUUGAGUCCGGGAGAGGUGAGUGGAACUCCGAGUGUAGAGGUGAAAUUCGUAGAUAUUCGGAAGAACACCAGUGGCGAAGGCGGCUCACUGGCCCGGUACUGACGCUGAUGUGCGAAAGCGUGGGGAGCAAACAGG
This 253-nucleotide ribosomal RNA is filed under the name uncultured bacterium. Its description in RNAcentral is "partial 16S ribosomal RNA". It matches the Rfam family "Bacterial small subunit ribosomal RNA", at positions 524 to 776 of the family's 1533-position model. The record is from RNAcentral.